This 23-nucleotide microRNA is filed under the name Homo sapiens (human). RNAcentral describes it as "hsa-miR-548h-3p". Its record names the gene hsa-miR-548z. Lineage: Eukaryota; Metazoa; Chordata; Mammalia; Primates; Hominidae. The record is from miRBase by way of RNAcentral.
CAAAAACCGCAAUUACUUUUGCA